CCAGCCAAAGAGGAGGUGUUUGCGUCCUCUGGUGCCCUGGGCAUGCAGGGGAGGCCCUGGGCUGGGUUUUUCCUGCUCUCAGCACACUACAGAGAGCUCCAGGGCCCCCAGAGAGUUCCCCACAGCACUGCCCAUCCAACUGCACCAGCAUCUGCUGUCUGAGUGUAUUGUUAGAGCAAAUGAAGAAACGAGGACACACAAACCACGAUUCACUCAAACUCAUGCAGUAGAUUGGGGUGAAUUCUGCCCUGAGGUGUUUUCUCCUUGGAUCAUAUCACUCCUUUUUCAGUCCAUCAGCCCUGUGUGUUUUGCAGCCUUUCAGAUGCUCCCCUGACCCACAGCGAGGGAAUCCAGCUGUACCCAGGGCUCACAUGGAUGCUUCACUCCUUGCUGGGAGCCAUUAGCUCUAUCCCUAACCUGAGCCACAGUUUGGCCUCUUCCAGACCAAAACUCUCCACUCCUUGAAGCCAGGAACCUGUGUCCUUGGGUGAGGAGGAUCAGGAAAAGACAAGUUGGGGAAAAAUAUGAGCGGUGAACUCAGCACCAAGUGUGUGAUUUCCACAGAGGCCCCUCAGAUGCUUCCAAUCCUGGUGUUUUUUGGAGGGAGGGCAUAGUUUCGAGUAUUGAUUCAAAUGACCUCCACCAUUAAUCUUUGCAAGGGAUUUUUUUUAUUAUUCCUCCAAGAGAACAGGCAAUUUUAGCCACUGCAUCAUCCUGGGGAGAGAAAAGGGAUGUGGACAGCUUUGAAGGCACCCACCUCAAAGCCCGAGUUAUUCUCCCUGCUUUUCCCUCACCAGCUCAGCAGCAAGAACACAUAAAUUGUGUGUCAUAGCUGCCUUUUCAUCUGUCCCAGGAGUUAUAGACUGCACACAUAAGACAAUUCGUGUUCCUCUGCAUAAUGAGGUGCAGAGAGCAAUGCCCCAAAGAGUCCCCACUAGUGGCUUCUCUCCAGUUUCACAAUUCCAUCAGAAAUCCAUUUCCAAAUGCAUAAAAAUCCAUGGAUUUGUAAUAAAAUGAGCCCCCUAAAGCUCAGAAAACA
Long non-coding RNA from Passer domesticus (house sparrow), 1039 nucleotides. RefSeq lists it as uncharacterized. The transcript has 2 exons. NCBI's taxonomy places the organism in Eukaryota, Metazoa, Chordata, Aves, Passeriformes, Passeridae. The record is from RefSeq and is a predicted model, not a curated record.